AUGUCAUUGCAGGUAAAGAAACUUCCCUUUGAACAUACUUGUGGGAGCAAAAACUGCAGCAAAGGAAUGGCAAAUAGAGAUUGGCUCGCUGAUAAAGGGAAGGCUGCACUUGAGGAGAAUGCCACGGUGAGUGCAAAACAACUUAAAGAACGCUUGCAAAGGGAGUAUGAUAUUAAGCUUCAAUACACCGAUGUUUGGAAAGGGAGAGCUCGUGCAAAGGAUCAAUUAGAAGGUACAUAUAAAGAGAAUUUUCAGUUGUUGUGGAACUUUAGAGCUGAAUUGUUGGCAGCCAAUCCUGAAAGUAUAUUUGAGAUAGAUGUAAAAACAACUACCAAUAGUAAGGUUUUCAAUAGGUUGUUCAUUGCAUUCAAGCCAUGCAUUGAUGGGUUUUGGGCAGGGUGUAGACCAUAUUUGGGGGUUGAUGCAACUUUUCUUUGUGGGAAAUACACUGGCCAAUUUGCAGCCGCAAUUGGUGUAGAUGGGCAUAGUUGGAUGUUUCCGGUAGCAUUUGGAAUAUUUGAGAAAGAAAAUAAAGAAAAUUGGGUAUGGUUCAUGGAGCAGUUGAAAUUGGCUAUUGGAGAACCACAAGGGCUUGCAAUCCAUACCGAUGCAUGCAAGGGGUUGGAGAAUGCCAUUUCUAAGGUCUACCCAAAUUGUGAACAUAGAGAAUGCAUGAUGCAUCUAAUGCUCAACUUCAAGAAAAAGUUCAAAGGUGACAUACUAGAUAAUAUGUGGCCUGUAGCUUGGACAUAUGAAGUAGAGAAGCAUGAUUCACUAAUGGCAGAAAUACAAGCACAAAGCGCCGAAGCAAUAGCCUAUUUGAACAUGCAUCACAACUGUGUGUGGACAAGAAGCAAAUUUUCAGCAAUGACCAAAGUUGAGUACGUUAGUAAUAAUUUGGCAGAGGUUUUCAACAAUUAG
Molecule: ribosomal RNA, 921 nt
Filed under: Triticum aestivum (bread wheat)
Lineage: Eukaryota; Viridiplantae; Streptophyta; Magnoliopsida; Poales; Poaceae
Description: partial small subunit ribosomal RNA
Source: RNAcentral